Molecule: ribosomal RNA, 396 nt
Filed under: uncultured bacterium
Lineage: Bacteria
Description: bacterial SSU rRNA
Rfam family: Bacterial small subunit ribosomal RNA
Source: RNAcentral
AUAUUGGUAAUGUGCGAAAGCGCGAACCAGCAACGCCGCGUGCACGAUGAAGGCCUUCGGGUCGUAAAGUGCUUUUAGAGAGGAUGAGGAAGGACAGUACUUUCUGGAUAAGCCUCGGCUAACUACGUGCCAGCAGCCGCGGUAAAACGUAGGAGGCUAGCGUUAUCCGGAUUUACUGGGCGUAAAGCGCAUGCAGGUGGUUUUGUAAGUUGGAUGUGAAAGCUCCUGGCUUAACUGGGAGAGGUCGUUCAAAACUACAAGACUUGAGAUUGGUAGAGGAAAAUGGAAUUCCGGGUGUAGUGGUGAAAUGCGUAGAUAUCCGGAGGAACACCAGUGGCGAAAGCGGUUUUCUGGACCAAUUCUGACACUCAGAUGCGAAAGCUAAGGUAGCAAACG